Saccostrea echinata is the source of this 334-nucleotide long non-coding RNA. RefSeq lists it as uncharacterized. NCBI's taxonomy places the organism in Eukaryota, Metazoa, Mollusca, Bivalvia, Ostreida, Ostreidae. The record is from RefSeq and is a predicted model, not a curated record. The transcript has 4 exons.
CCUGGUUCCCUGCAUUUUCAGUGAACCACAGAGAACCAGAAUAAGAUUGUAGGGAAACAAGCCUUGUUACAAGGUUUGAGGGUCUCUGCUAGAAUCAUGUGGACCCCAGUGUAACAAAUCUAUGGAAAGAGAGAAAAUCUCAGCUCAAGGGUCAACAUGUCUUUAUUCCAAGAAAGAGUGUACAUAUGCCAGAAUCAUAUGGACCGCAGACUGGCCCUGGUGAUUCCGUUAAGAAAAAAGAGGAAAAAUCAGUGCUUGUGCUCAUUGGUCAUUGGACAAAGGGUGAAUGCCAGAAUUUUUUCAAGAACAGCCUGAAUCUGACAUGGAAAAAAUG